CCCCUCCAUUUGGAUCGUUCUCUUUUCCUCAUCUCUGUAGCUCUACAUUGUUCCUGGCAAUAAAGAAAUUUGAUGUGUAUGCCUCCUCGUCACCCACCCUCUCUCUCGCUCACUCUGUUUCCGCGGUUACCAGUCGCGCUGUUUGGUUAUGCAAUGCACCGCGUUCUCAGGCUCCGAGACGGGACCUAUAACCACACAACUGCCAUCGGCUACGGACAGAGAACGGCAGGGUGGGGAGCUCUCUGCUGCAGGUCGCUGAUUUCUUGAGCAUAGCCAGCCUUGGUCUGAAGGUGUCAACACACAUCUGUAGCUUGCUUCUACACCCACGGGAAAAAGAGGAGAGCAAGAAGGAGGGAAGGCAAUUGCAGAGGAGGCAAAUCAGAGAGAAGGAACGUUUGGCCAACUGGCCCUUGUGUUGCCGCCAGCCAAGAUAUGCCUCUCCUAUGAUGAGCCCACAGCAUGCUGGAUCUUCCCCAUGACCUCCCAUGCAGUAGGAUAAGCAUCCUGGAGUCAGAGGUGGGGGGCCAGAAUGGGGACGACCACCGUCAGUAUAGAGGAGGUUCGGGCGCAGGAGGGUAAAGAAGAACGAGAGGAGUCCAUCUUGGCCUUGCUGGGGAUCAUCGGCACCUUUCUGAACCUUUUUGUCAUCGUUUUUGUUUACAUCUACACCACUCUGUGAGGAGGAGGAUCACGUGGCGGGGGCAGGUGGAGGUAAGGGGAGGGGUCAAAAGUAGAUAUGACAGAGGGGUCGACGUCUCACAGAGAGGAACAUGGAAGAUGACACUAGGCCGGUCAGGACAGGGAAAGUGACACUUGCCCCGUGACCACUAAUUUAAGGGCAGAUGUAUCAAUGCAUUCAGCUGGACUCUAGGACAGCAGACUUUUCAAAACGAAUGGACAUCCAUUAAUACAGAUUUCUGGACACUAGGAGAAUGGUCCUUGGAUACGCCAGAUUCGUAACCUCACAGGACAUGGUCAAGGGCCAAGGGACCUUACGUUUCCCCGGCAACGGGAGUAACACUGAGCACUGCCUGGCUUCAUACAAGGUUACACAUAUGCAGAAGGACCAUAAUGAACAAACACAGAGUGCCACAUGCCAAUGGAAUGGUUCCUUUCAUAUUAGGCAUCGUAUCGACUAAUAGAUAAAGGCUCUGCAAUAACAUGGAACAAUGGAAAAAUUUCAUUAUGAAAUAUUUUUCUAUUAAAAUAAAAGAGAGAAUGAGACUCUUUGGGAUGGUGGACCAAUUUACAAGUUCUCAUAGCUGGAACUCGUGGGGGCUUGCUACAGUUCGGUGACAUUUGGAAAAGUAGACCGAGCCACUCUUUUUCAUUACAGUUCCUCCCUUGUUCUGACAGGUGGAAGGAAGAUAAACAAAACAAUACAAAUAUGAGUGUGAGUUUUCUCUCUGAUUUAAGGGCAUUGUCAGACACAACGUUUCUGUGCAAAGUAAAAGCUUUUGCACCAAUACUUGAUUACAUAUUAGAUGUACUGUGCCAUAGGAAAUCUGAUCAAUAAAAUUAUAUUCUAUGGAUUGGGAUGUC
Long non-coding RNA from Myxocyprinus asiaticus (Chinese sucker), 1542 nucleotides. RefSeq lists it as uncharacterized. The transcript is spliced from 3 exons. The record is from RefSeq and is a predicted model, not a curated record. NCBI's taxonomy places the organism in Eukaryota, Metazoa, Chordata, Actinopteri, Cypriniformes, Catostomidae.